GACGAACGCUGGCGGCGUGCUUAACACAUGCAAGUCGAACGGAAAGGCCCUGCUUUUGUGGGGUGCUCGAGUGGCGAACGGGUGAGUAACACGUGAGUAACCUGCCCUUGACUUUGGGAUAACUUCAGGAAACUGGGGCUAAUACCGGAUAGGAGCUCCUGCUGCUUGGUGGGGGUUGGAAAGUUUCGGCGGUUGGGGAUGGACUCGCGGCUUAUCAGCUUGUUGGUGGGGUAGUGGCUUACCAAGGCUUUGACGGGUAGCCGGCCUGAGAGGGUGACCGGCCACAUUGGGACUGCGAUACGGCCCAGACUCCUACGGGAGGCAGCAGUGGGGAAUAUUGCACAAUGGGCGGAAGCCUGAUGCAGCAACGCCGCGUGCGGGAUGACGGCCUUCGGGUUGUAAACCGCCUUCGCCUGUGACGAAGCGUGAGUGACGGUAAUGGGUAAAGAAGCACCGGCUAACUACGUG
This 468-nucleotide ribosomal RNA is filed under the name uncultured bacterium. Its description in RNAcentral is "partial 16S ribosomal RNA". It matches the Rfam family "Bacterial small subunit ribosomal RNA", at positions 28 to 507 of the family's 1533-position model. The record is from RNAcentral.